GAUGAACGCUAGCUACAGGCUUAACACAUGCAAGUCGAGGGGAAACGGCAUUGAGUGCUUGCACUCUUUGGACGUCGACCGGCGCACGGGUGAGUAACGCGUAUCCAACCUUCCCAUUACUGUGGGAUAACCUGCCGAAAGGCAGACUAAUACCGCAUAGUCUUCGAUGACGGCAUCAGAUUUGAAGUAAAGAUUUAUCGGUAAUGGAUGGGGAUGCGUCUGAUUAGCUUGUUGGCGGGGUAACGGCCCACCAAGGCAACGAUCAGUAGGGGUUCUGAGAGGAAGGUCCCCCACAUUGGAACUGAGACACGGUCCAAACCCCUACGGGAGGCAGCAGUGAGGAAUAUUGGUCAAUGGACGGAAGUCUGAACCAGCCAAGUAGCGUGCAGGAUGACGGCCCUAUGGGUUGUAAACUGCUUUUGUAUGGGGAUAAAGUUAGGGACGUGUCCCUAUUUGCAGGUACCAUACGAAUAAGGACCGGCUAAUUCCGUGCCAGCAGCCGCGGUAAUACGGAAGGUCCAGGCGUUAUCCGGAUUUAUUGGGUUUAAAGGGAGCGUAGGCUGGAGAUUAAGUGUGUUGUGAAAUGUAGACGCUCAACGUCUGAAUUGCAGCGCAUACUGGUUUCCUUGAGUACGCACAACGUUGGCGGAAUUCGUCGUGUAGCGGUGAAAUGCUUAGAUAUGACGAAGAACUCCGAUUGCGAAGGCAGCUGACGGGAGCGCAACUGACGCUUAAGCUCGAAGGUGCGGGUAUCAAACAGG
Molecule: ribosomal RNA, 761 nt
Filed under: Prevotella melaninogenica
Lineage: Bacteria; Pseudomonadati; Bacteroidota; Bacteroidia; Bacteroidales; Prevotellaceae
Description: bacterial SSU rRNA
Rfam family: Bacterial small subunit ribosomal RNA
Source: RNAcentral